AAUGGGCGGAAGCCUGAACCAGCCAUGCCGCGUGCAGGAAGGAGGCCCUACGGGUUGUAAACUGCUUUUACCCGGGAAGAAACCGCCCCCUGUGGGGGGCGUUGCCGGUACCGGGGGAAAAAGGAUCGGCUAACUCCGUGCCAGCAGCCGCGGUAAUACGGAGGAUCCGAGCGUUAUCCGGAUUUAUUGGGUUUAAAGGGUGCGUAGGUGGUUUGAUAAGUCAGCGGUGAAAGUUUGCAGCUUAACUGUAAAAAUGCCGUUGAAACUGUCGGACUUGAGUGUAAAUGAGGUAGGCGGAAUGCGUGGUGUAGCGGUGAAAUGCAUAGAUAUCACGCAGAACUCCGAUUGCGAAGGCAGCUUACUAAGCUACAACUGACACUGAAGCACGAAAGCGUGGGGAUCAAA
This 405-nucleotide ribosomal RNA is filed under the name uncultured bacterium. Its description in RNAcentral is "bacterial SSU rRNA". It matches the Rfam family "Bacterial small subunit ribosomal RNA", at positions 370 to 772 of the family's 1533-position model. The record is from RNAcentral.